This 460-nucleotide ribosomal RNA is filed under the name uncultured bacterium. RNAcentral's name for it is "partial 16S ribosomal RNA". It matches the Rfam family "Bacterial small subunit ribosomal RNA", at positions 338 to 795 of the family's 1533-position model. The record is from RNAcentral.
CCUACGGGUGGCAGCAGUGAGGAAUAUUGGUCAAUGGUCGAGAGUCUGAACCAGCCAAGCAGCGUGAAGGAUGACUGCACUAUGGAUUGUAAACUUCUUUUAUAUGGGAAUAAAACGUUCCACGCGUGGGAGGUUGUAUGUACCUUAUGAAUAAGGAUCGGCUAACUCCGUGCCAGCAGCCGCGGUAAUACGGAGGAUCCGAGCGUUAUCCGGAUUUAUUGGGUUUAAAGGGUGCGUAGGGGGAUUGUUAAGUCAGUUGGCAAAGUUUGCGGCUCAACCGUAAGACUGCAGUUGAAACUGGCAGUCUUGAGUACAGUAGAGGUGUGCGGAAUGCGUGGUGUAGCGGUGAAAUGCAUAGAUAUCACGAAGAACUCCGAUUGCGAAGGCAGUAGACCGGAUUGCAACUGACACUGAGGCACGAAAGUGUGGGUAUCGAACAGGAUGAGAUACCCCGGUAGUC